Molecule: unclassified non-coding RNA, 655 nt
Filed under: Pasteurella multocida
Lineage: Bacteria; Pseudomonadati; Pseudomonadota; Gammaproteobacteria; Pasteurellales; Pasteurellaceae
Description: partial contains 16S ribosomal RNA, 16S-23S ribosomal RNA intergenic spacer, and 23S ribosomal RNA
Rfam family: Bacterial large subunit ribosomal RNA (bases 494-655)
Source: RNAcentral
CCUUCGGGAGGGCGUUUACCACGGUAUGAUUCAUGACUGGGGUGAAGUCGUAACAAGGUAACCGUAGGGGAACCUGCGGUUGGAUCACCUCCUUACACUAAAAUGAAGCGACUGCAAGUGUUCACACAGAUUGUUUGGUAGAUUGUAUGAAUGAAACAUAUGGCAAAGUGGAGAGCAUCUUUACAUGUUGUCCCCAUCGAAUCUAGAGGCCUAGGACAUCGCCCUUUCACGGCGGUAACCGGGGUUCGAAUCCCCGUGGGGACGCCAUUUAAAGAUGACUUUUGUUGUCUUUACUGUUCUUUAAAAAAUUGGAAACAAGCUGAAAAACUGAAAGAGAUUUUCGAAAGAAAGUCUGAGUAGAAAAAUCUUGCAUGAAAAAAGGCAUGCAAGUGUUUAGCGUUUAAACACAACAUCAAGGUGAUGAAACUUGAUUAAUGCAUUAGCAAAGGUUAAUGGAUUAAUUGAGAUUAAGUAAGAAUACUUGAGGUUGUAUGGUUAAGUGACUAAGCGUACAGGGCGGAUGCCUUGGCAAUCAGAGGCGAUGAAGGACGUGCUAAUCUGCGAAAAGCUUGGAUGAGUCGAUAAGAGGCGUUUAAUCCAAGAUAUCCGAAUGGGGAAACCCAGUAGAUGAAGCAAUCUACUAUCGCAAUAAAUG